GAUGAACGCUGGCGGCGUGCUUAACACAUGCAAGUCGAACGAGAAAUGGAGACGGAAACCUUCGGGCGGAAGGCUUCAUUUCGAGCGGCGGACGGGUGAGUAACGCGUGGGUAACCUGCCUCAUACAGGGGGAUAACAGUUGGAAACGACUGUUCAUACCGCAUAAGACCACAGCACCGCAUGGUGCGGGGGUAAAAACUCCGGUGGUAUGAGAUGGACCCGCGUUCGAUUAGCCAGUUGGCGGGGUAACGGCCCACCAAAGCGACGAUCGAUAGCCGAUCUGAGAGGAUGACCGGCCACAUUGGGACUGAGACACGGCCCAAACUCCUACGGGAGGCAGCAGUGGGGAAUAUUGCACAAUGGGGGAAACCCUGAUGCAGCGACGCCGCGUGAGUGAAGAAGUACUUCGGUAUGUAAAGCUCUAUCAGCAGGGAAGAAAAUGACGGUACCUGAGUAAGAAGCCCCGGCUAACUACGUG
RNAcentral lists this ribosomal RNA (478 nucleotides) under uncultured bacterium. RNAcentral describes it as "partial 16S ribosomal RNA". It matches the Rfam family "Bacterial small subunit ribosomal RNA", at positions 28 to 507 of the family's 1533-position model. The record is from RNAcentral.